CCUACGGGAGGCAGCAGUAGGGAAUUUUCGUCAAUGGGCGCAAGCCUGAACGAGCGAUGCCGCGUGAGUGAAGAAGGCCUUCGGGUCGUAAAGCUCUGUUGCGGGGGAAAAAAGGCAGCAUCAGGAAAUGGGUGCUGCCUGAUGUUGCCCCGCCAGAAAGUCACGGCUAACUACGUGCCAGCAGCCGCGGUAAUCCGUAGGUGGCGAGCGUUAUCCGGAAUGGUUGGGCGUAAAGGGUGCGCAGGCGGUCCGGCAAGUCUGGAGUGAAACGCAUGGGCUCAACUCAUGCAUGGCUUUGGAAACUGGAGGACUGGAGAGCAGGUGAGGGAGGUGGAACUCCAUGUGUAGCGGUAAAAUGCGUAGAUAUAUGGAAGAACACCAGUGGCGAAGGCGGCCGCCUGGCCUGUUGCUGACGCUGAGGCACGAAAGCGUGGGGAGCAAAUAGGAUUAGAUACCCGAGUAGUC
Molecule: ribosomal RNA, 465 nt
Filed under: uncultured bacterium
Lineage: Bacteria
Description: partial 16S ribosomal RNA
Rfam family: Bacterial small subunit ribosomal RNA
Source: RNAcentral